This 253-nucleotide ribosomal RNA is filed under the name uncultured bacterium. Its description in RNAcentral is "partial 16S ribosomal RNA". It matches the Rfam family "Bacterial small subunit ribosomal RNA", at positions 524 to 776 of the family's 1533-position model. The record is from RNAcentral.
UACGGGGGGAGCAAGCGUUGCUCGGAAUGACUGGGCGUAAAGGGCGCGCAGGCGGCCAUGUCAGCCAGGCGUGAAAGUCCCGGGCUCAACCUGGGGGUGGCGUUUGGGACGGCGUGGCUUGAGUUGGGGAGAGGGUUGUGGAAUUCCCAGUGUAGAGGUGAAAUUCGUAGAUAUUGGGAAGAACACCGGUGGCGAAGGCGGCAGCCUGGCCCUUGACUGACGCUGAGGCGCGAAAGCGUGGGGAGCAAACAGG